This 301-nucleotide ribosomal RNA is filed under the name uncultured bacterium. Its description in RNAcentral is "partial 16S ribosomal RNA". It matches the Rfam family "Bacterial small subunit ribosomal RNA", at positions 509 to 807 of the family's 1533-position model. The record is from RNAcentral.
CAGUAGCCGCGGUAAUACGAAGGGUGCAAGCGUUAAUCGGAAUUACUGGGCGUAAAGCGCGCGUAGGUGGUUCGUUAAGUUGGAUGUGAAAGCCCUGGGCUCAACCUGGGAACUGCAUCCAAAACUGGUGAGCUAGAGUAUGGUAGAGGGUGGUGGAAUUUCCUGUGUAGCGGUGAAAUGCGUAGAUAUAGGAAGGAACAUCAGUGGCGAAGGCGACCACCUGGACUGAUACUGACACUGAGGUGCGAAAGCGUGGGGAGCAAACAGGAUUAGAUACCCCCGUAGUCCCUGUCUCUUAUAC